GGUUUUCUGUGGAUCUACAUGGAAAAGUAAACCCUACAAGUAUUAAUAUCGGGGACUGUCUCUGACGAUGGUGAGCAAGCUCGGGCCUAGCACUUGAGAAGCCUAAAGUCGUUAUCACGGUGACCCACUUUAAAAUCUUGGGUUUACAUCCUGUUCUGUCCACAGAAAGUUU
Molecule: non-coding RNA, 172 nt
Filed under: Pseudobdellovibrionaceae bacterium
Lineage: Bacteria; Pseudomonadati; Bdellovibrionota; Bdellovibrionia; Bdellovibrionales; Pseudobdellovibrionaceae
Description: Bdellovibrionaceae bacterium 6S RNA
Rfam family: 6S / SsrS RNA
About the family: E. coli 6S RNA was the first non coding RNA to be sequenced, but its function was unknown until recently. It consists of 184 nucleotides that fold into an extended hairpin structure with a large single-stranded internal bulge.
Source: RNAcentral